This 253-nucleotide ribosomal RNA is filed under the name uncultured bacterium. Its description in RNAcentral is "partial 16S ribosomal RNA". It matches the Rfam family "Bacterial small subunit ribosomal RNA", at positions 524 to 776 of the family's 1533-position model. The record is from RNAcentral.
GACAGAGGGUGCAAACGUUGUUCGGAUUUACUGGGCGUAAAGCGCGUGUAGGCGGCUUUGCAAGUCGGAUGUGAAAGCCCACGGCUCAACCGUGGAAGUGCAUCCGAAACUGCAUGGCUCGAGUCCGGGAGAGGGUAGCGGAAUUCCUGGUGUAGAGGUGAAAUUCGUAGAUAUCAGGAGGAACACCGGUGGCGAAGGCGGCUACCUGGACCGGUACUGACGCUGAGACACGAAAGCGUGGGGAGCAAACAGG